CAUUUUUCAGUUGUGUUGCAUCUCGCGCGAGUACGUUGUCGUCGAGUGGUGGUUCUUUAUUCUAUGGAGUGGUUCUGAAAGCGCUGCGUUAGGGGCGACUGCAACCAGGCGUUGCGGCAAGUUACGGUGGGAACUUCUGUCCGUGCUGUGUGAUUGCGACGAGGACGACUGCCGCCAGCAGCGGCGUGUCGCCGAUUUCGUCUUUGCCGACAUCGAGCAAGUGCAGCGCCGGAAGUGUUGCGUUUUGCACUGCAUUUUCCUUGUGAUAUGGGAGAUCGCAACGCAGAGACGACCAGAUGCAUACGAAAGACUACCAGCGGAGAGUGACCUGUGCCAUAUUUCUCUUAACCUCUCAGGUAUUCAAGAAAUGGCAACAUCCAGAAGAAGACGCCAUCUUAUCCAGCACGUUAUGGGUACACUCUGGUGGCUCCCGCCCCUGCAUCCUACGACCACCGUGUCCUCACUAUGUUCACUAGGGAGUUCGAAGCCUUUGGCGGCUCCUGCCACUGCGUCCUGCCACCACCGUGUCCUGACUACGUCCACUAGGGAGUUGGCAGCCUUCGUGAUGAUGCCAAGCAGGCUGGAAGCUGACAGAAAGAUCGAGGUUGCCUCGAAAUUUUACCCAAGCCGUGCCACACACUUGGGCCAGGCCUCUUGCAAACGACGUAUAACCAGGCUCAACGCAUGAUGUCGAGUGAGUCCAG
Long non-coding RNA from Dermacentor albipictus, 704 nucleotides. RefSeq lists it as uncharacterized. The record is from RefSeq and is a predicted model, not a curated record. NCBI's taxonomy places the organism in Eukaryota, Metazoa, Arthropoda, Arachnida, Ixodida, Ixodidae.